Molecule: ribosomal RNA, 111 nt
Filed under: uncultured Jannaschia sp.
Lineage: Bacteria; Pseudomonadati; Pseudomonadota; Alphaproteobacteria; Rhodobacterales; Roseobacteraceae
Description: partial 16S ribosomal RNA
Rfam family: Bacterial small subunit ribosomal RNA
Source: RNAcentral
UGCCGCGUGAGUGAUGAAGGUCUUAGGAUCGUAAAGCUCUUUCGCCAGGGAUGAUAAUGACAGUAUCUGGUAAAGAAACCCCGGCUAACUCCGUGCCAGCAGCCGCGGUAA